This 240-nucleotide unclassified non-coding RNA is filed under the name soil metagenome. RNAcentral describes it as "partial contains 5.8S ribosomal RNA, internal transcribed spacer 2, and large subunit ribosomal RNA". The record is from RNAcentral.
AAGACUAUAGACCUGCGGAGUACCUGCGGAGGGAUCAUUAACGAGUGUAACUUACCCUUUUUUUUAAAAGAGGGUAGUACCUCCUGUCCUUUGUAGGCCCCUUUUUAUUGGGGGGCUUUUUAAGACUUUCUGCUUCGGCGGGGUUAUUCCCGCCGGAACACCCUCAAAAAACUCUUCAAAAACUAAUUCAGUCCGAGAAUUUUUGAAAAUAAAAAAAACUUUUAACAACGGAUCUCUAGA